UGCAAGUCGAGCGGAGAUGAGGUGCUUGCACCUUAUCUUAGCGGCGGACGGGUGAGUAAUGCUUAGGAAUCUGCCUAUUAGUGGGGGACAACAUUCCGAAAGGAAUGCUAAUACCGCAUACGUCCUACGGGAGAAAGCAGGGGAUCUUCGGACCUUGCGCUAAUAGAUGAGCCUAAGUCGGAUUAGCUAGUUGGUGGGGUAAAGGCCUACCAAGGCGACGAUCUGUAGCGGGUCUGAGAGGAUGAUCCGCCACACUGGGACUGAGACACGGCCCAGACUCCUACGGGAGGCAGCAGUGGGGAAUAUUGGACAAUGGGGGGAACCCUGAUCCAGCCAUGCCGCGUGUGUGAAGAAGGCCUUAUGGUUGUAAAGCACUUUAAGCGAGGAGGAGGCUACUGAGACUAAUACUCUUGGAUAGUGGACGUUACUCGCAGAAUAAGCACCGGCUAACUCUGUGCCAGCAGCCGCGGUAAUACAGAGGGUGCGAGCGUUAAUCGGAUUUACUGGGCGUAAAGCGUGCGUAGGCGGCUUUUUAAGUCGGAUGUGAAAUCCCCGAGCUUAACUUGGGAAUUGCAUUCGAUACUGGGAAGCUAGAGUAUGGGAGAGGAUGGUAGAAUUCCAGGUGUAGCGGUGAAAUGCGUAGAGAUCUGGAGGAAUACCGAUGGCGAAGGCAGCCAUCUGGCCUAAUACUGACGCUGAGGUACGAAAGCAUGGGGAGCAAACAGGAUUAGAUACCCUGGUAGUCCAUGCCGUAAACGAUGUCUACUAGCCGUUGGGGCCUUUGAGGCUUUAGUGGCGCAGCUAACGCGAUAAGUAGACCGCCUGGGGAGUACGGUCGCAAGACUAAAACUCAAAUGAAUUGACGGGGGCCCGCACAAGCGGUGGAGCAUGUGGUUUAAUUCGAUGCAACGCGAAGAACCUUACCUGGCCUUGACAUACUAGAAACUUUCCAGAGAUGGAUUGGUGCCUUCGGGAAUCUAGAUACAGGUGCUGCAUGGCUGUCGUCAGCUCGUGUCGUGAGAUGUUGGGUUAAGUCCCGCAACGAGCGCAACCCUUUUCCUUACUUGCCAGCAUUUCGGAUGGGAACUUUAAGGAUACUGCCAGUGACAAACUGGAGGAAGGCGGGGACGACGUCAAGUCAUCAUGGCCCUUACGGCCAGGGCUACACACGUGCUACAAUGGUCGGUACAAAGGGUUGCUACACAGCGAUGUGAUGCUAAUCUCAAAAAGCCGAUCGUAGUCCGGAUUG
RNAcentral lists this ribosomal RNA (1249 nucleotides) under Acinetobacter sp. SB180. RNAcentral describes it as "bacterial SSU rRNA". It matches the Rfam family "Bacterial small subunit ribosomal RNA", at positions 56 to 1300 of the family's 1533-position model. Lineage: Bacteria; Pseudomonadati; Pseudomonadota; Gammaproteobacteria; Moraxellales; Moraxellaceae. The record is from RNAcentral.